GAUGAACGCUGGCGGCGUGCCUAAUACAUGCAAGUAGAACGCUGAAGGAAGGAGCUUGCUCUUUCCGGAUGAGUUGCGAACGGGUGAGUAACGCGUAGGUAACCUGCCUGGUAGCGGGGGAUAACUAUUGGAAACGAUAGCUAAUACCGCAUAACAGUAGAUGUUGCAUGAUAUCUACUUAAAAGGUGCAAUUGCACCACUACCAGAUGAACCUGCGUUGUAUUAGCUAGUUGGUGAGGUAACGGCUCACCAAGGCGACGAUACAUAGCCGACCUGAGAGGGUGAUCGGCCACACUGGGACUGAGACACGACCCAGACUCCUACGGGAGGCAGCAGUAGGGAAUCUUCGGCAAUGGACGGAAGUCUGACCGAGCAACGCCGCGUGAGUGAAGAAGGUUUUCGGAUCGUAAAGCUCUGUUGUAAGAGAAGAACGAGUGUGAGAGUGGAAAGUUCGCACUGUGACGGUAUCUUACCAGAAAGGGACGGCUAACUACGUG
This 497-nucleotide ribosomal RNA is filed under the name uncultured bacterium. Its description in RNAcentral is "partial 16S ribosomal RNA". It matches the Rfam family "Bacterial small subunit ribosomal RNA", at positions 28 to 507 of the family's 1533-position model. The record is from RNAcentral.